GACGAACGCUGGCGGCGUGCUUAACACAUGCAAGUCGAGCGGUAAGGCUCCUUCGGGAGUACACGAGCGGCGAACGGGUGAGUAACACGUGAGCAAUCUGCCCUUCACUUUGGGAUAACUCCGGGAAACCGGUGCUAAUACCGAAUACGACCACCGAUGGCAUCAUCUGGUGGUGGAAAGUUCCGGUGGUGAGGGAUGAGCUCGCGGCCUAUCAGCUUGUU
RNAcentral lists this ribosomal RNA (221 nucleotides) under uncultured bacterium. RNAcentral's name for it is "partial 16S ribosomal RNA". It matches the Rfam family "Bacterial small subunit ribosomal RNA", at positions 28 to 250 of the family's 1533-position model. The record is from RNAcentral.